This is a non-coding RNA of Callorhinus ursinus (northern fur seal), 3123 nucleotides long. The record is from RefSeq and is a predicted model, not a curated record. Lineage: Eukaryota; Metazoa; Chordata; Mammalia; Carnivora; Otariidae.
GAGCUAAUGUCAGAAGAAAGUGACUCUCUGCGAACCAGCCCCUCUGUGGCCUCGCUCUCGGAAAAUGAGCUGCCGCCACCGGCCGAGCCUCCUGGCUACGUGUGCUCGCUGACGGAAGACCUGGUCACCAAAGCCAGGGAGGAGCUGCAGGAGAAGCCAGAAUGGAGACUUCGAGACGUGCAGGCCCUCCGUGACAUGGUGCGGAAGGAGUGCCCGAACCUGAGCACCUCCCUGGACGACGCCUUCCUGCUACGCUUCCUCCGAGCCCGCAAGUUCGAUUACGACCGGGCCCUGCAGCUCCUGGUCAACUACCACAGCUGCAGGAGAAGCUGGCCCGAGGUCUUCAACAACCUGAAGCCCUCGGCCUUAAAGGAUGUCCUCGCUUCUGGAUUCCUCACCGUGCUGCCCCACACCGACCCCCGGGGCUGCCAUAUCCUCUGCAUGCGCCCAGACAGAUGGAUACCGAGCAACUAUCCAAUUACCGAAAACAUCCGAGCCAUAUACUUGACGUUAGAAAAACUCAUUCAGUCUGAAGAAACCCAGGUGAAUGGAAUUGUAAUUCUUGCAGACUACAAAGGAGUGAGCUUAUCAAAAGCAUCUCACUUUGGCCCUUUUAUAGCCAAAAAGGUGAUUGGCAUCCUUCAGGAUGGCUUUCCCAUUCGGAUAAAAGCAGUGCAUGUAGUGAAUGAACCUCGAAUAUUUAAGGGCAUUUUUGCCAUCAUAAAACCAUUUCUGAAGGAGAAAAUAGCAAACAGAUUCUUCCUCCACGGGUCCAACCUGAACUCUCUGCACACAAGCCUUCCCAGAAGCAUUCUCCCCAAGGAGUAUGGGGGCACGGCUGGAGAGCUGGACAUCACCGCCUGGAAUGCAGUGCUGCUGGCCUCGGAGGAGGACUUCGUGAGAGAGUUCUGCCAACCUGUCCCUGUCUGCGACAGCAUCCUGGGCCAGGCCCCGCCUCCUGAGGGGCUGACCCCAGAUGUGCAGUGUGAUGAUUCUCUGAGGGCCGUGAAAUCGCAGCUCUACUCCUGCUAUUAGCCAGUCCCCUAUGAGUGCCGCCAUCUUUAAAUCCUUUCCUUUUUCUUUGGAGAGGCGCAAGGAGAGUCUGAGGUGCCAUGGAGUCUGUCUUGCUCCUGGUAAUUAAACUGCAGCCUGUAGAGCUCUGAGGGUAAGCCAUGGGGUAAGCCUUUGGUGACUCUUGAAUUAAUCCAUGGAAGACAUGGAAAAUGUCCCCAGUGAUCCCCAAGCGUUGGGAAUCCCAGUUUGCAACCACAAUCUGGAAGCUCUAUCUGGUUCAUAGAGAUCUUGGAACAAGAAAAAUCAGGACCAAAGUCAUUUUGGUUCCACGUUCCAGGAGCAAACCGCCUGAUUGGCCAGUCAGCACACUCCUGUGAAAGAACCUGGCCGAGCCUGCAAGGUGGCCACACCAGGAGACUUUGGGAGUUUGUGUCUUUCACCUGAACCCUAACUACAGACUUGCGUUGCUCCUCAGGAAGUUUCUAGUUUGAGGCCCAGGCCCCAGCUGCCACACUGGGUUUGGAAAGCACCUUAAUCGAAUCAUCGUGGAGGCAGCAGGACAGAAGCAGCACCUUCCUGAUCAAAUUUGGGGGCCCGCGACCUGGAAGCACCUCUGGGAUUCACUGACUGACUCUUGCAAUAGAAAAUGAAGUUUUCCCCAAACCCAUAAAGCCUUAGCCCUGGUUCUCAACAGAAUCAUACGGGAUCCUAGAGGUAUGUGAUUUUACUCAAAACGCUAGAUGCCAGGCCUGAGGAGCUGAAAGAAUUCUGGCCCAGGAAUGAAGAGAGCGGGGCUGCAGCCCAGAAGUGCGACUGUGGACAAGACCUGGGCCUCUGGGCUCUGCCUUCUCAUCUGUAAAAUGAAGCUGGAUGAAAUGACGCCUAGGGCCUUGGCUGCUGACAUUCUGGGGUUUGCUUUAUUGAAUGCUGGACACUGGUUUUCUGCCUAGAGAAAUGGCUCUCUAGAGGCAAGUGGUUGGAUCCUGCUUUUUUGUGGUACACCUGGGCCUUCCCAAGAGACAUGAGUUACCAGCUGGCCCUGCCUUUAAGGAAAGUAAGAGGUGUAUUCCUGGGACCUGGCGACAGCCAACUUCCUUUUUGUAGGAAGGGUUAAACUGGAAAAGGGCAGGUGAAAUGACCAGGGUUCACGUGAAUUCCUUCUGUCCCCGAGGCUCCGGCGGUACACUGGAAACCUGGCAGCAGGGAAUGGCUAAAUUACUUGGGAGUCUUAAAUUUUGGUCUCUGGAAACGAAUGCACGAGCGGGUUAUCGCUGGAUUACUUCUGGGGCCCCCGCCCUCCCAGAUACGCUUGCAUUUCUCUCUCUGGUGUGGGCGGACUGACUUGAGUCUAGCCAGCGAGACCAAAUGUUAGUUCUCCAUUUCAGCACUUUAGACCCUUCCUGUCAAAACUUCAGCCUUAGCCCAACCACCAAACCAGGUGGUUCAGCUGGUGGCUUUUUGACCUAUUUCCUUUCGUAUUCAUUCCUUGAAAAUUAUGGCGUUAAAAAAUGGACAAGUACUAUGUGUUGUCUAAGUACGUUCUCCACGCAUUUAUGAGGCCGCCGCGCAAGGGGACAACAGCUCAGAAUCUGGAAAACUAUGACUUUUCCUGGAAUCCUGUUCUACCUUCACGGAGAGAGGCUGGAAGAAAUGUGCAGAAACAACUGUGCAAAUCUGGCUUCCUCUCCCAAGCUUACCUGCUUUGGGCAGAAGUGGCUUUAGCUUCCCCAUACUUCAUCUCGUUUUCACAAGAAGCCACAUGUCCUUAGAGGUUUACAAACACUUCAGCUUGUAAGAUACAUUUUUGCCAGACUCAGAGGACAGGAAGAGGUAUUUUCCCCCAAAUUCCUGUGAGCUACCGAGCCUUUCUGAAUUCUCCCGGUGGGCAGUUUCUUUAAAUGCCACCGGAUUCUCAGAUUGCUUUUUCACUUGGGUAGGCAAAAGCUGUGGUACUGUUGUGGCAUUAUUUAUUACUUCAUUUUAAAGUCUUUAGCUUUUAAGGUUUUCCUUUGAAGCCUUCCUUUCAUUGAGGAAGUGAAGUGUUAGCCAAGGUAAUGAUGCAAAUGUGGCUGUUCUGUGGAUGUGUGGAGACACCAAACAGAAACAUCU